UGGGAAUUUUGGACAAUGGGCGCAAGCCUGAUCCAGCCAUGCCGCGUGCGGGAAGAAGGCCUUCGGGUUGUAAACCGCUUUUGUCAGGGAAGAAAUCUUCUGAGUUAAUACCUCGGGAGGAUGACGGUACCUGAAGAAUAAGCACCGGCUAACUACGUGCCAGCAGCCGCGGUAAUACGUAGGGUGCAAGCGUUAAUCGGAAUUACUGGGCGUAAAGCGUGCGCAGGCGGUUUUGUAAGACAGAGGUGAAAUCCCCGGGCUCAACCUGGGAACUGCCUUUGUGACUGCAAGGCUUGAGUGCGGCAGAGGGGGAUGGAAUUCCGCGUGUAGCAGUGAAAUGCGUAGAUAUGCGGAGGAACACCGAUGGCGAAGGCAAUCCCCUGGGCCUGCACUGACGCUCAUGCACGAAAAGCGUGGGGAGCAAAACAGGAUUAGAUACCCUGGUAGUCCACGCCCUAAAA
This 461-nucleotide ribosomal RNA is filed under the name uncultured bacterium. RNAcentral's name for it is "partial 16S ribosomal RNA". It matches the Rfam family "Bacterial small subunit ribosomal RNA", at positions 356 to 807 of the family's 1533-position model. The record is from RNAcentral.